This 550-nucleotide ribosomal RNA is filed under the name uncultured archaeon. RNAcentral describes it as "bacterial SSU rRNA". It matches the Rfam family "Archaeal small subunit ribosomal RNA", at positions 876 to 1429 of the family's 1478-position model. The record is from RNAcentral.
GCACAGCAACAGGUGGAGCGUGCGGUUUAAUUGGAUUCAACGCCGGAAAACUCACCGGAGGCGACGGUUACAUGAAGGCCAGGCUGAUGACCUUGCUAGAUUUUCCGAGAGGUGGUGCAUGGCCGCCGUCAGUUCGUACCGUAAGGCGUUCUGUUAAGUCAGACAACGAACGAGACCCUCAUCUUUAAUUGCAACUGGUAAGUCCGCUUACUGGGCACAUUAGAGAAACCGCUGGCGAUAAGUCAGAGGAAGGCGAGGGCAACGGUAGGUCAGUAUGCCCUGAAUCCUCCGGGCUACACGCGCGCUACAAAGGCCAGGACAAUGGGCUUCGACACCGAGAGGUGAAGACAAUCUCGAAACCUGGUCGUAGUUCGGAUUGAGGGUUGAAACUCACCCUCAUGAAGCUGGAAUCUGUAGUAAUCGCGGAUCAACAUCCCGCGGUGAAUAUGCCCCUGCUCCUUGCACACACCGCCCGUCAAACCAUGCGAGUUGGGUUUGAGUGAGGAUGUAGUUCUUGCUGCAUUCAAACUUAGGCUUAGUAAGCGGGGUU